CCUACGGGUGGCAGCAGUGAGGAAUAUUGGUCAAUGGGCGCGAGCCUGAACCAGCCAAGUCGCGUGAGGGAAGACGGUCCUAUGGAUUGUAAACCUCUUUUGUCGGGGAGCAAAAGACGCCACGCGUGGCGUUCCGAGAGUACCCGAAGAAAAAGCAUCGGCUAACUCCGUGCCGGCAGCCGCGGUAAUCCGGAGGAUGCGAGCGUUAUCCGGUUUUAUUGGGUUUAAAGGGUGCGCAGGCGGAAGAUCAAGUCAGCGGUAAAAUUGAGGGGCUCAACCUCUUCGAGCCGUUGAAACUGGUUGUCUUGAGUGAGUGAGAAGUAUGCGGAAGGCGUGGUGUAGCGGUGAAAUGCAUAGAUAUCACGCAGAACUCCGAUUGCGAAGGCAGCAUACCGGCGCUCAACUGACGCUCAUGCACGAAAGUGUGGGUAUCGAACAGGAUUAGAUACCCGAGUAGUC
Molecule: ribosomal RNA, 459 nt
Filed under: uncultured bacterium
Lineage: Bacteria
Description: partial 16S ribosomal RNA
Rfam family: Bacterial small subunit ribosomal RNA
Source: RNAcentral